GUCUCUGGGUGUUCGUAUUCUGGAAAGAGAGAUUUCCAACCUCUUGCAUCCCCUCCUCUAGGGCUCAUGGGACCUCUGGUUCUGAAUGCAUAUUCCCCUAAAAUCAAAGAACUUGAAGACUGAAAAAGACCAUGGUUAUUGUCAACUUAAGUGGUCUCCAAGAUGGGCUAUAAGACACCAGAUUGAAGUGAGACCUUAGUGGCUGACAGAGAACCUAAACCCUGGCUUGCAACUCGAGGCUGUGUGAAAGGAAUCGGAACUUACUUCUCACGGUGACUCGAAUCCACGUGCUGAGGAUGGGGCUGUGAACGUUAUCAGCUGCACAGUAGUAUCUCCCUGCAUCACUCUCCUUCACGGGCAUAAGAAACCCACAGCCAAUAUCAUACUGAAUGAGCAAAAGCUGGAAGCAUUCCCCUUGAAAACCGGCCCAAGACAAGGAUACCCUCUCUUACCACUCCUAUUCAACAUAGGAUUGGAAGUUCUGGCCAGGGCAAUCAGGCAAGAGAAAGAAAUAAAGGUAUUCAAACAGGAA
Molecule: long non-coding RNA, 532 nt
Filed under: Homo sapiens (human)
Lineage: Eukaryota; Metazoa; Chordata; Mammalia; Primates; Hominidae
Description: HSALNT0296034
Source: RNAcentral